UAUGGUGGUUCCCAGGCUAGGGAUGGAAUUGGAGCCGUAGCCACCGGCCUACGCCAGAGCCACAGCAGCACCAGAUCCGAGCCGUGUCUGGGACCUACACCACGGCUCACAGCAACGCCGGAUCCUUCACCCACGGAGCGAGGCCAGGGAUCGAACCCGAAACCUCAUGGUUCCUCGUCGGAUUCACUUCCGCUGCGUCACGACGGGAACUCCAAAGCUAGGAAAGUUCUUGAAGAAGAGCUUGAUUUUCUUCCUCUUGGCCGCGUGGGUCGGGGCCAGUGGUGAUGACCUCCUCCGUUUACCUCGCAGGCUCCUUAGGUUGGCCUUCGCUCUGUGUUUUAUCUCCCUCUAAUCAGGGUGUGAAGGGGUGGCUUGCUUUUAUGCGUAGAAAGGGUGCUUUGAGGGUACAGCUUUUGCUUGAAAUGUGUAGCACUGCUUGAAGGCCAGAUCCAGAAGGAUUGUCUUCUUGGAGUUUCUGCUCUGGCACAGUGAGUUAGGGACCCAGCAUCGCCCCAGCUGGGGCGUAGAUUGAAGCUGCAGCUCGGAUUUCAAUCCCUAGCCCAGCAAGUUCCCUAUGCCAGAAAAAGGAUUUUUUUUUUUCUCUUUAAACAGCUGCCCUGUGCUCUGGAAUGCGGGUUGCUUGCAACUUUUGUCUUUGUUGAGCAGGAAGUGUGACAGCUGGCGACCAACGCUGACGUUCCAACCAUGUGUGGCCUCGAUGAAGCAGAGCAGGGUGGUAGGGACAUCAUGUCCCAAGUGCAUUUUCAUUGUAGUCAAUGCCCCCCACGUCCCCCCGAAAAAACGUAAAACAAAGGGACAAUGGGGCCUGAGAGCUACUUGUAAAGAUCAUUGGCCUGGGAGUUGGGAGGGUGAGGGGCAGAGCAGGGAAUGAAACUUAAAAAGCAGCAGGGCUUGGGGAAUGUCAGACUUCGCCGAGUUCCUUCUUCUUGGGCUAAAUGGGGGCGGCCAUGGCAUGAUUUCCAAGGGCUCUUGCUGCACUAACGUCCUGCCGGGUGGGUACCUGACUGAAGACGAACGCCCCUUCACGGCUGUAAAUAUUCAGGCUUUAGCACAUGUUGGAAUGCACCGUCCUUCUGUGUGCCUACUUCCAAAUUAACGCUACCGUCUAUUGAGAAUCUACUGCUCAAGCGUGAUAUGCCAGAGACGUAUCAUCUGAUCUAAACCUUGUCACAGUUCUCUGGGGGCAGCAAGCAUCACAACACAAAAUUGACUUCUGAGGAAGCUCGGAUGUGGACAAGUGGCCCGAUACCAAGGUGCCCUAGCAAGGGGCAGAAGAGAGCUUUAACCUUAGACUGACUCUGGGUCACCAAGCUCCUGACCAGGACACCACAUGAGGUCGAACAGGAGCUAGUAGGAAAGGCUCUCGGUUUCUUUAUCGCUAUUUUGGAGUCUGGAUUGGAAGGAUGUGACUGAAAAAAAAGGCCUUCCUAGAAAUCCCCACAUUUUCAGAAAUGUGCCUUUGGUUUGUGCUCUGAGGCAUGGAGAUGGUGUGCCACCAGAUGGCUGCGGCCCCAACAGCGAGCCGGUGGGGCAGGGCCUGGUCUUGCACCUUGGCAGGUUUCCACGGCGGUCCGUUGAACGUCCUGGGCCUACAAUUAGGGACACUGUUCCCAAGUGAGAUUCGGACCUGCUGCUCUACAAUUUAGGGAGCAUCUCAGGUUCUCUUCUCCUUGGAGCAGCGCUUCUCAAAGCCUCAUCCCCAGACCCCCAGGAGACCUGAGGACCCUUUCAUGGGGCCUGUAGAUGAAGACAUUUUCACGGAGAUGCUGCAACGUUCCUUGCUGUUUUUCACUGCAGUGAUACUUGUAUCUAAGAACUAAGGCGCAAAAGCAGUGGUGAGUAAAACCGCUGGAAUCGAGGCAGGAAAGCAGGUGGUGGCGCCAGCCUGUUACCAGUCGUGGGGUUCCUCACCAGGCACCCACAAGGAAAAGAAAGUACCUGCAAGUCCUUUAGUUGAUCGCGGGGGUUCACGGUUCCUGGCCUUUUCAAAAUUGUGGAACCCUUUUAAUUAAAGAUUCCCAGGUAGUGUAAGUUAAUUGUUUAGUCAUAAACAUUAAUUGAUAAGAAAAGCACAUAAUGACAGCAAGCCCUAGCAAUUUAAUACUACUUUAAUUUGCAUCAAGAAAGCAAAAUAAAUUUAAAAAAAUUUUUAUGAUAAACUUUUUUUAGGGCCGCACCUGUGGCAUAGGGAAGCUCCCGGGCUAGGGGUCAAAUCAGAGCUGCAGUUGCCAGCCUACGCCACAGGCAUAGCAAUGAGGGAUCGAGCCACAUCUGUGACCUACAUCACAGCUCAUGGCAAUGCUGGAUCCUUAACCCACUGAGCGAGGCCAGGGAUUGAACCCACAUCCUCAUGGAUACUAGUCAGCUUUGUAACCCACUGAGCCACAACAGGAACUCCUGUGAUAAACUUUUAUAUGACUGUAGGGAUAUGCUAUAAGUUUUGAGGUUAUUUCUUGUAAUAUUUUGUACAUUGCACAUUUUUAGGUUCUUUUUUUUCCUUUUUUUAAUGGAGAAAACUGUUAAAUGACAUUGACCUUUCCAGUUUGGAACAUAACGUUGGGACACUGUAUCUGAUAAAU
RNAcentral lists this long non-coding RNA (2600 nucleotides) under Sus scrofa (pig). RNAcentral's name for it is "lncRNA (ENSSSCG00060060278.1)". The record is from RNAcentral. Lineage: Eukaryota; Metazoa; Chordata; Mammalia; Artiodactyla; Suidae.